AGCUAUUCCUCGUGGUUGCAGCUGCGAUUGUUAUUCGGGUCAUGAGGCAGUUGUCCCUGUCGCAAAAGCGGCUUCUUCAGCAUAUCGAAUCGCGGAAAGCCACGCGGUCCGCCUCGUGCGCCGAUCACAAUGGAGCGAUGAUGAAGAUGACGAUGUGGCGGCGGAUGAACGAUGGUGCCGGGCAGAGUCACCACGCUCCUAGAGCUUUGUGGCACACACGACUGCGCAUAUUUAAUUGCUCAUUCGCGUGAUUCGCGACGG
This 261-nucleotide small RNA is filed under the name Drosophila erecta. RNAcentral describes it as "GG26443". The record is from RNAcentral. Lineage: Eukaryota; Metazoa; Arthropoda; Insecta; Diptera; Drosophilidae.